Molecule: transfer RNA, 72 nt
Filed under: Camelus bactrianus (Bactrian camel)
Lineage: Eukaryota; Metazoa; Chordata; Mammalia; Artiodactyla; Camelidae
Also listed under: 2 other names
Rfam family: tRNA
About the family: Transfer RNA (tRNA) molecules are approximately 80 nucleotides in length. Their secondary structure includes four short double-helical elements and three loops (D, anti-codon, and T loops).
Source: Rfam by way of RNAcentral
GAGAGUAUAGCUCAGUGGUAGAGUGCAAACCUGGUAUGCACAACGUCCUGGGUUCAAUUCCCAGUACUUCUG